GUCCUUUUGAUUUUUAUUUAAGGUCUGACCUGCCCACUGAUAUAUAUAUUUAAUGGCCGCGGUAUUUUGACCGUGCAAAGGUAGCAUAAUAAUUUGUCUUUUAAUUGAAGGCUUGUAUGAAUGGUUGGACGAGAAAACUACUUUCUUUAUAAUAAAAUAAUUAAUUUUAUUUUUUAGUUAAAAAGCUAAAAUAUUGUUGUAGGACGAGAAGACCCUAUAGAACUUUAUAUUUAUUUCUAUAUUAAUGUUUUUUGUUUAUAAUAUAUUGUAUACUUAUAAAUAUUUUGUUGGGGCGACAAGAAAAUUUAUUUAACUUUUUUUUAUUAAUUUCAUUAAUUAAUGUAUAAAUGAUCCUUUAUUAAGGAUAAAUAGAAUUAGUUACCUUAGGGAUAACAGCGUAAUUUUUUUGGAGAGUUCUUAUCGAUAAAGAAGUUUGCGA
Molecule: ribosomal RNA, 439 nt
Filed under: Sigara scotti
Lineage: Eukaryota; Metazoa; Arthropoda; Insecta; Hemiptera; Corixidae
Description: partial large subunit ribosomal RNA
Rfam family: Archaeal large subunit ribosomal RNA
Source: RNAcentral